GUUCUCAUAGAUAUAUUUUGAUUAUCUUAUCUAUGAUUUUGACUCCUAGAGUAAUGAUGAUAAAACUUCCUGGUGAAAUAUAUCUAAUGUAAUUGCCUCGCAUCUGAAUAUGAAAUCCUGACCCUUGUUAAUUAGAACUUUGGUUGAGCACUGGUUUGGUGUAUUUGUUGGCAAACACAGUGCAACAGUGCCUUGAUAAUCUCUCUCUUUUCUUUUGUUAAAUUUUCCUUAUUUUUGGUCAAUUUUUUGUUAUUUGACUUUCUGUUGUUCUGGUGUAACUACUAGUCCUCUCAUUAUUUUCUGUCAUAUCCAAAGUCUUCUGUAGGAACACUUUGGUGGUAUGUGACAAAGAUAAGAUACGCUCUUGAUGCUCGAAGAUGUGACGCAUUGUGUAAUGAAUAUUCUUCAAAAUGAAGAAGGAAAGAUCUGCAGUUGGAAGUUAUCUUGAUGCACUCAAUGCAAGAAGUCAUAUCAUGCAAAAAAAAUUGAUAUCUGCAAUCACUUUAUCCCGAUAAAUGCAGCUGGUCUUAUUAGCAUAGGGUACAUACUUUAUGGUCCCAGGAAUACUGUCCAAGUCAUGAGCAUGAUGGAACUCUACGAUGGAAUACUUUUCUCGCCAGGAGCAUCAUCACAUGCCUGAAACUCCAGGUCUCUGUCUCGCUGAGGAACAAACAGUCAGCAGUAUAUUGAGGCGACCAUGGACAGGAGGAAUCAAGUAAUUGCCAUGAAAAUGGAGCCUUAUAAUUAACUCACCAUUGUGAAGUGACUGCAAUCCUCAUUUUAUGUGGUCUUCCAAGGUUACUGACUUGAUUGGUAUUGGCGCAUGACAUGAUGCAUGCUUGUGUGCGACUUAAUGAAUAUUCUGCAAAAUGAAGAAGAAAAGAAACCUGUGCAGUUGGAAGUUAUCUUGAUGUACUGAAUGCAAGACAACAAAUGCAACUUAGGAAAAUAAUGCAGCUACGGAGAUCCUCAGAAAUUCUUAUUGCAAACGGAAUCACUGAAGACGUUCUUCCAUACUCGAUUCCGGUAUGCAUGUGAAUACAUGAUUACAUGAGAAGCUUCUUCUUUUUCCUUGGUGCACAAGAGUACGAUGCAAUGUUUCACGUAGAUUGUCUUUGUUGGAAUUGGUGAAUUAUAGUGAAAAAAGUUUGUGGGCGGUUGGGAUUCGAGUCCUAAGAGCAGAGUUUGGAAUCAGAUUUGAUUCUCUUUUAAAAAAGAACAAAGAAAAAAAGAGCUUGGGUAGUUGCCUAACCCACAGUGCUAACAGCAGUUGAAGUGCCAUUCCUACUUUUACAUACUAAUCUCAUCGUUCAUUCUAUUUUAAUUGUUAUUGAAGAUUAUUUGAUGUAUUGACCGAUUUCUUGAUAUAUUUAAUGUAAUGCUGUGAUUUCA
Sesamum indicum (sesame) is the source of this 1392-nucleotide non-coding RNA. The record is from RefSeq and is a predicted model, not a curated record. Lineage: Eukaryota; Viridiplantae; Streptophyta; Magnoliopsida; Lamiales; Pedaliaceae.